CCCCUGGUGGUCUAGUGGUUAGGAUGCGGUGCUCUCACCGCUGCGGCCCGGGUUCGAUUCCCGGUCGGGGAA
Non-coding RNA from Manacus vitellinus (golden-collared manakin), 72 nucleotides. Lineage: Eukaryota; Metazoa; Chordata; Aves; Passeriformes; Pipridae. The record is from Rfam.